CCUACGGGUGGCAGCAGUGAGGAAUAUUGGACAAUGGACGGAAGUCUGAACCAGCCACGCCGCGUGCAGGAAGACGGCUCUAUGAGUUGUAAACUGCUUUUUUACAAGGGUAAACCUGAAUACGUGUAUUCAGCUGAAAGUACUGUACGAAUAAGGAUCGGCGAACUCCGUGGCAGCAGCCGCGGUAAUACGGAGGGUCCGAGCGUUAUAGGGAUUUAGUGGGUUUAAAGGGCUCGUAGGCGGAGCGUAAAGUCAGUGGUCAAAUUGAGGUGCUCAACCCCUUACCGCCAGUGAAACUGGCGCGCUUGAGUGGAAGAGAAGUAUGUGGAAUGCGUGGUGUAGGGGUGAAAUGCAUAGAUAUCACGCAGAACCCCGAUUGCGAAGGCAGCAUGCCGGCUUCCGACUGACGCUGAAGCACGAAAGCGUGGGGAGCGAACAGGAUUAGAUACCCUGGUAGUC
RNAcentral lists this ribosomal RNA (459 nucleotides) under uncultured bacterium. RNAcentral's name for it is "partial 16S ribosomal RNA". It matches the Rfam family "Bacterial small subunit ribosomal RNA", at positions 338 to 795 of the family's 1533-position model. The record is from RNAcentral.